CCUACGGGAGGCAUCAGUGGGGAAUAUUGGGCAAUGGGCGCAAGCCUGACCCAGCAACGCCGCGUGAAGGAAGAAGGCUUUCGGGUUUUAAACUUCUUUUAUUGAGGACGAAACAAAUGACGGUACUCAAUGAAUAAGCCACGGCUAACUACGUGCCAGCAGCAGCGGGAAUACGUAGGUGGCAAGCGUUCUCCGGAUUUACUGGGUGUAAAGGGCGUGUAGGCUGGACUGCAAGUCAGAUGGGAAAACCAUGGGCGAAAACCAUGGCCUGCAUUUGAAACUGUAGUUCUUGAGUGAUGGAGAGGCAGGCGGAAUGCGGUGUGUAGCGGUGAAAUGCGUAGAUAUACGGAGGAACACCAGUGGCGAAGGCGGCCUGCUGGACAUUAACUGACGCUGAGGCGCGAAAGCGUGGGGAGCAAACAGGAUUAGAUACCCUUGUAGUC
This 443-nucleotide ribosomal RNA is filed under the name uncultured bacterium. Its description in RNAcentral is "partial 16S ribosomal RNA". It matches the Rfam family "Bacterial small subunit ribosomal RNA", at positions 338 to 795 of the family's 1533-position model. The record is from RNAcentral.